This 2269-nucleotide ribosomal RNA is filed under the name Escherichia coli. RNAcentral's name for it is "bacterial LSU rRNA". It matches the Rfam family "Bacterial large subunit ribosomal RNA", at positions 697 to 2925 of the family's 2925-position model. The record is from RNAcentral. Lineage: Bacteria; Pseudomonadati; Pseudomonadota; Gammaproteobacteria; Enterobacterales; Enterobacteriaceae.
AAGUUGCAGGGUAUAGACCCGAAACCCGGUGAUCUAGCCAUGGGCAGGUUGAAGGUUGGGUAACACUAACUGGAGGACCGAACCGACUAAUGUUGAAAAAUUAGCGGAUGACUUGUGGCUGGGGGUGAAAGGCCAAUCAAACCGGGAGAUAGCUGGUUCUCCCCGAAAGCUAUUUAGGUAGCGCCUCGUGAAUUCAUCUCCGGGGGUAGAGCACUGUUUCGGCAAGGGGGUCAUCCCGACUUACCAACCCGAUGCAAACUGCGAAUACCGGAGAAUGUUAUCACGGGAGACACACGGCGGGUGCUAACGUCCGUCGUGAAGAGGGAAACAACCCAGACCGCCAGCUAAGGUCCCAAAGUCAUGGUUAAGUGGGAAACGAUGUGGGAAGGCCCAGACAGCCAGGAUGUUGGCUUAGAAGCAGCCAUCAUUUAAAGAAAGCGUAAUAGCUCACUGGUCGAGUCGGCCUGCGCGGAAGAUGUAACGGGGCUAAACCAUGCACCGAAGCUGCGGCAGCGACGCUUAUGCGUUGUUGGGUAGGGGAGCGUUCUGUAAGCCUGCGAAGGUGUACUGUGAGGUAUGCUGGAGGUAUCAGAAGUGCGAAUGCUGACAUAAGUAACGAUAAAGCGGGUGAAAAGCCCGCUCGCCGGAAGACCAAGGGUUCCUGUCCAACGUUAAUCGGGGCAGGGUGAGUCGACCCCUAAGGCGAGGCCGAAAGGCGUAGUCGAUGGGAAACAGGUUAAUAUUCCUGUACUUGGUGUUACUGCGAAGGGGGGACGGAGAAGGCUAUGUUGGCCGGGCGACGGUUGUCCCGGUUUAAGCGUGUAGGCUGGUUUUCCAGGCAAAUCCGGAAAAUCAAGGCUGAGGCGUGAUGACGAGGCACUACGGUGCUGAAGCAACAAAUGCCCUGCUUCCAGGAAAAGCCUCUAAGCAUCAGGUAACAUCAAAUCGUACCCCAAACCGACACAGGUGGUCAGGUAGAGAAUACCAAGGCGCUUGAGAGAACUCGGGUGAAGGAACUAGGCAAAAUGGUGCCGUAACUUCGGGAGAAGGCACGCUGAUAUGUAGGUGAAGUCCCUCGCGGAUGGAGCUGAAAUCAGUCGAAGAUACCAGCUGGCUGCAACUGUUUAUUAAAAACACAGCACUGUGCAAACACGAAAGUGGACGUAUACGGUGUGACGCCUGCCCGGUGCCGGAAGGUUAAUUGAUGGGGUUAGCGCAAGCGAAGCUCUUGAUCGAAGCCCCGGUAAACGGCGGCCGUAACUAUAACGGUCCUAAGGUAGCGAAAUUCCUUGUCGGGUAAGUUCCGACCUGCACGAAUGGCGUAAUGAUGGCCAGGCUGUCUCCACCCGAGACUCAGUGAAAUUGAACUCGCUGUGAAGAUGCAGUGUACCCGCGGCAAGACGGAAAGACCCCGUGAACCUUUACUAUAGCUUGACACUGAACAUUGAGCCUUGAUGUGUAGGAUAGGUGGGAGGCUUAGAAGUGUGGACGCCAGUCUGCAUGGAGCCGACCUUGAAAUACCACCCUUUAAUGUUUGAUGUUCUAACGUUGACCCGUAAUCCGGGUUGCGGACAGUGUCUGGUGGGUAGUUUGACUGGGGCGGUCUCCUCCUAAAGAGUAACGGAGGAGCACGAAGGUUGGCUAAUCCUGGUCGGACAUCAGGAGGUUAGUGCAAUGGCAUAAGCCAGCUUGACUGCGAGCGUGACGGCGCGAGCAGGUGCGAAAGCAGGUCAUAGUGAUCCGGUGGUUCUGAAUGGAAGGGCCAUCGCUCAACGGAUAAAAGGUACUCCGGGGAUAACAGGCUGAUACCGCCCAAGAGUUCAUAUCGACGGCGGUGUUUGGCACCUCGAUGUCGGCUCAUCACAUCCUGGGGCUGAAGUAGGUCCCAAGGGUAUGGCUGUUCGCCAUUUAAAGUGGUACGCGAGCUGGGUUUAGAACGUCGUGAGACAGUUCGGUCCCUAUCUGCCGUGGGCGCUGGAGAACUGAGGGGGGCUGCUCCUAGUACGAGAGGACCGGAGUGGACGCAUCACUGGUGUUCGGGUUGUCAUGCCAAUGGCACUGCCCGGUAGCUAAAUGCGGAAGAGAUAAGUGCUGAAAGCAUCUAAGCACGAAACUUGCCCCGAGAUGAGUUCUCCCUGACUCCUUGAGAGUCCUGAAGGAACGUUGAAGACGACGACGUUGAUAGGCCGGGUGUGUAAGCGCAGCGAUGCGUUGAGCUAACCGGUACUAAUGAACCGUGAGGCUUAACCUUACAACGCCGAAGGUGUUU